Molecule: unclassified non-coding RNA, 253 nt
Filed under: uncultured Anaerolineae bacterium
Lineage: Bacteria; Bacillati; Chloroflexota; Anaerolineae
Description: contains 16S-23S intergenic spacer region
Rfam family: Bacterial small subunit ribosomal RNA
Source: RNAcentral
AACGUAGGAGGCAAGCGUUAUCCGGAAUUACUGGGCGUAAAGGGCAAGCAGGCGGCAGCUUAAGUCGGACGUGAAAGCUCCUGGCUCAACUAGGAGAGGCCGUUCGAGACUAAGUUGCUCGAGGCUGGUAGAGGAGAGUGGAAUUCCCGGUGUAGUGGUGAAAUGCGUAGAUAUCGGGAGGAACACCAGUGGCGAAGGCGGCUCUCUGGACCAGAACUGACGCUGAGAUGCGAAAGCUAGGGGAGAGAACGGG